AGGACGAACGCUGGCGGCGUGCUUAACACAUGCAAGUCGAGCGGAAAGGCCCUUCGGGGUACUCGAGCGGCAAACGGGUGAGUAACACGUGAGCAACCUGCCCUUAGCUUCGGGAUAGCUCCGGGAAACCGGAAUUAAUACCGAAUAUGAUUUUUGCUGACAUCAGCAGAAGUGGAAAGUUUUUCGGCUAGGGAUGGACUCGCGGCCUAUCAGCUAGUUGGUGAGGUAACGGCCCACCAAGGCGACGACGGGUA
This 254-nucleotide ribosomal RNA is filed under the name uncultured bacterium. RNAcentral describes it as "partial small subunit ribosomal RNA". It matches the Rfam family "Bacterial small subunit ribosomal RNA", at positions 26 to 285 of the family's 1533-position model. The record is from RNAcentral.